GUGCAGGAACCCUCACCCGCCCGAGCGGGGCCCUGGGCCUCCGGGUCACUCUCUGUGGCGGGGUCUGGCUGCGCGUCAGACGGCCUCCUCCAAUGCCCGCAGUUGCUGUCGCCCCCAGGCCUGGACCGGGGAGUGAGGGGUGGGCCUGACCGGCCCCUGAGCUCCCGUCAGCCCCCCACGCGAGCCCGUCCUGUGCUGGGGGCAGGGAGAUGGGCCGGUGGGAGAGGAGACCGCAUCCAGCCCUCCCUGGCCACCUGCAGGGUCCCCACCGUGGCGGCUGCUUUACUGCUAACUCCUCCCGGGGACCCCAAGUCCCCAUCGCUCUCGGGGGUCCCCCUCAUCCGAACCGCCUCGGAGGAGGGCCGCAUCUCACGCGGAGCACCCCUCCACGCCUGUGACCCUGGACUUGCUCUCCCGCCCCCGCCCGGGCCUCAGGGCUCAGGAGGCCGUGAUGAAGCCAGCAGGUGAACUGCACCCUGGAGCCUCCGACGGGGCGGCCACGGGCAGCGAAGAACCCGGAAAAACAGGUUCGAGGCAGACACAAGAUCCAGGCCCCGGCAGGCUCCGUGUCUGCCGAAGGCUUCCUGGGUCAUAGGCGACACCUUCCCGCCGUGCCCUCUUGUGGGAAAGGGGUGAGGGAGCCCUCUGGGGCUCCUUUUAUUUAUUUUUAAUUUUUUAAUUUUUUAAUUUUUUGAAGUGGAGUUUUGCUCCUGUUGCCCAGGCUGGAGUGCGGUGGCGCAACGUCGGCUCACCGCAAGCUCCGCCUCCCGGGUUCAAGGGAUUCUCCUGCCUCGGCCUCCCGGUGGCUGGGAUUACAGGCGCCUGCAACUACACCCAGCUAAUUUUUUGUAUUUUUAGUAGAGAUGGGGUUUCACCAUGUUGACCAGGCUGGUCUCAAACUCCUGACCUCAGGUGAUCCGCUUGCCUUGGCCUCCCAAAAUGCUGGGGGUCACAGGCGUGAGCCACCUCACCCGGCCGUGAAAUUUGUAUUUUUAAACUUUGUAUAAAUGGUAUUUUGCUGUCCGUGACAUUCAGCAACUUGCUCUUCUCACCCCACAGUACCCUUCUGAGGUUAAUCCGCGUUGAUAGAAGCAGGUGUGGUUCAUCUGGAAUCUGUUGGUGUGAACUGCGCGGCGGCGUCCCCCACCAGGCACCACAGGUGAUUCAUUCGUUUCCCUGAAAAGGCGCCUGGAUGCUGUUUCUAGCUCCCGUUAUCCCCAGCGAUGCUGCACCUGCCCCAGGACACACGCUAGGGUGGAACCGCCGGGCAUGGAGCAGGUGUGGUCUCAACCGCAGGAGAAACAGCCGGGUAGCCUCCAAAGGGACGUGCCACUUGGCGCUCCUGCAAGGGGAGAGGCACUGAGGCUCUCGGUCCUCACCAGCACGUCCUUGUGCCACACUCAGGCCCGGCGGGUGGUGUGGGGGCCGCAUCUCAUGGAGGUCUCCGUCCACGUUGCCCCCAUUGUGACCGCAGCGGGCGCCUCUUGGUAGCAGCCACCGGCCUCUUCUGGGACUCGCCGGAGGGUUUCCACGUCGCCCGCUCCGACGGGGCUGUUCAUCUCCCCUUGAUCUGUGGGACUCCCCGUCCGUCUCAGGUUGCAUUCCAUGGGCCCGGGAGCCUUUUUUGGACAGACGCCGUGGUGUGACUCCAGCUGAGCUGCCCCCUUGGCCAGGGCCACCAGAGGCAGCCCCCUGCCUCCAGAUCAAGAGCCCACCCACCCUCACGGGUGGCCAGGAGCUGGCCCCUGGCCUGUGGGCCGGCCUGGCUGCCUUGGUCAUGGCAGGAAGGAUCCAUCACUGCUGCCUGAUGGAUGAUCUGAGCCGCCUCCUGCCCGCGCCCCGUGCUGUUUCAGCUGCAGAAAAAUGUUUAUCACUCGGCACAGCAGCGACCCUCCCUCCCUGCCUGCCUCCCUCCCUGCCUGCCUCCCUCCCUCCCUCCCUCCCUCCCUCCUUCCUUCCCUCCCUCCCUCCCUCCUUCCUUCCCUCCCUCCCUCCCUCCCUCCCUCCCUCCCAUGCUACGGACUCCCGGCAGACAUCAGGAGGCUUUCCGGGG
RNAcentral lists this long non-coding RNA (2053 nucleotides) under Homo sapiens (human). RNAcentral's name for it is "HSALNT0338945". The record is from RNAcentral. Lineage: Eukaryota; Metazoa; Chordata; Mammalia; Primates; Hominidae.